GAUGAACGCUGGCGGCGUGCCUAAUACAUGCAAGUCGAGCGAAUGGAUUAAGAGCUUGCUCUUAUGAAGUUAGCGGCGGACGGGUGAGCAACACGUGGGUAACCUGCCCAUAAGACUGGGAUAACUCCGGGAAACCGGGGCUAAUACCGGAUAACAUUUUGAACCGCACGGUUCGAAAUUGAAAGGCGGCUUCGGCUGUCACUUAUGGAUGGACCCGCGUCGCAUUAGCUAGUUGGUGAGGUAACGGCUCACCAAGGCAACGAUGCGUAGCCGACCUGAGAGGGUGAUCGGCCACACUGGGACUGAGACACGGCCCAGACUCCUACGGGAGGCAGCAGUAGGGAAUCUUCCGCAAUGGACGAAAGUCUGACGGAGCAACGCCGCGUGAGUGAUGAAGGCUUUCGGGUCGUAAAACUCUGUUGUUAGGGAAGAACAAGUGCUAGUUGAAUAAGCUGGCACCUUGACGGUACCUAACCAGAAAGCCACGGCUAACUACGUGCCAGCAGCCGCGGUAA
Molecule: ribosomal RNA, 515 nt
Filed under: uncultured bacterium
Lineage: Bacteria
Description: partial 16S ribosomal RNA
Rfam family: Bacterial small subunit ribosomal RNA
Source: RNAcentral